This 253-nucleotide ribosomal RNA is filed under the name uncultured bacterium. RNAcentral describes it as "partial 16S ribosomal RNA". It matches the Rfam family "Bacterial small subunit ribosomal RNA", at positions 524 to 776 of the family's 1533-position model. The record is from RNAcentral.
UACGGAGGGUGCAAGCGUUAUCCGGAUUCACUGGGUUUAAAGGGUGCGUAGGCGGUUUGGUAAGUCUUAUGUGAAAUCUACAGGCUCAACUUGUAGUCUGCAUGAGAAACUGCCGGGCUUGAGUAUGGGAGAGGUGAGUGGAAUUCCUGGUGUAGCGGUGAAAUGCGUAGAUAUCGGAAGGAACACCUGUGGCGAAAGCGGCUCACUGGACCAUUACUGACGCUGAGGCACGAAAGCUAGGGGAGCAAACAGG